RNAcentral lists this transfer RNA (84 nucleotides) under Candidatus Microgenomates bacterium. RNAcentral's name for it is "tRNA-Leu". It matches the Rfam family "tRNA". From Rfam's summary of the family: Transfer RNA (tRNA) molecules are approximately 80 nucleotides in length. Their secondary structure includes four short double-helical elements and three loops (D, anti-codon, and T loops). Lineage: Bacteria; Candidatus Microgenomatota. The record is from RNAcentral.
GCCGGGGUGGCGAAAUGGUAUACGCGCAGGACUUAAAAUCCUGUGACCUCAACAGUCGUGAGGGUUCGAGUCCCUCCCUCGGCA